This 207-nucleotide ribosomal RNA is filed under the name uncultured bacterium. RNAcentral's name for it is "partial 16S ribosomal RNA". It matches the Rfam family "Bacterial small subunit ribosomal RNA", at positions 568 to 774 of the family's 1533-position model. The record is from RNAcentral.
CUCGUAGGCGGUUCGUCGCGUCCGGUGUGAAAGUCCAUCGCUUAACGGUGGAUCCGCGCCGGGUACGGGCGGGCUUGAGUGCGGUAGGGGAGACUGGAAUUCCCGGUGUAACGGUGGAAUGUGUAGAUAUCGGGAAGAACACCAAUGGCGAAGGCAGGUCUCUGGGCUGUCACUGACGCUGAGGAGCGAAAGCGUGGGGAGCGAACA